CUCGUAGGUGGUUUGUCGCGUUGUUCGUGAAAACUCACAGCUCAACUGUGGGCGUGCGGGCGAUACGGGCAGACUAGAGUACUGCAGGGGAGACUGGAAUUCCUGGUGUAGCGGUGGAAUGCGCAGAUAUCAGGAGGAACACCGGUGGCGAAGGCGGGUCUCUGGGCAGUAACUGACGCUGAGGAGCGAAAGCGUGGGAGCGAACA
This 206-nucleotide ribosomal RNA is filed under the name uncultured bacterium. RNAcentral's name for it is "partial 16S ribosomal RNA". It matches the Rfam family "Bacterial small subunit ribosomal RNA", at positions 568 to 774 of the family's 1533-position model. The record is from RNAcentral.